This is a long non-coding RNA of Columba livia (rock pigeon), 3338 nucleotides long. RefSeq lists it as uncharacterized. The transcript has 3 exons. The record is from RefSeq and is a predicted model, not a curated record. NCBI's taxonomy places the organism in Eukaryota, Metazoa, Chordata, Aves, Columbiformes, Columbidae.
CACGCGGUACAUCUGACAGUGCUGGAAAGGCGGGGUGAGCAGCUCGCUGCCAGAGCUGCCGCUGUCAGACAGCGUCCUCCGGAUCAGGACACGUCUGUGCACCGCAGACCAAGCGUAUUCGUGAGCGUAACCUGCCGAAUGGAAGCCUUUCAUUUUCCAGUUCUAACUACUCACACCAGCAAAUCCUUGGGUUUUAUUCAAGGCUGGCCAAUGGCACCUCUCCUCUAACCCAGCCUUUAAGCUCUACAUGACAAUGCACCACAGCCACACGCUGAAUCCCUUUAGAGAAAAGUUGCAGCAAAGACGCCUCUAUCUGCGCGGCCGCUGAGCCCAGGGCUCCGGCGCUGCGAGGGCAGGACAUCGCAAGGCUUCCUUUGGGAAAAUGACUGUGGCUGCAGGGCUGGCCAAAACACUUAAUUCCCACGUCCUAUACUGCCAGUUCACAGGAAGAAACAAAACUCAUCUAGGUAGGAAGAAGGCACUGUCUGAUUUGCCUGUUCCUGGAGUGAAGCGGCAGCACUGCCGGAGGUUCCCGGCCGCCCAGCUCCACCGGCUGGUCUGCCGUACGGAACACAGUGCCCUACUUCGAGCAUCUGUGAAAACUGCAGCGCCGGAAUCAAACCAGCUCUGUUCUCUGACAGCAACCCCUGAAACAUCACUCUGCACAGUCCUUUCACUUGCAGGAUCCAGAAGGAAAAUCUGAGGAGGCUGCAAUAGGUCAGGAAGAUAAUCACAGUCUGACUUCUCCCCAGCCUGUCAUUUGUGCUAUUCAAACCCUCCUUCCCCACCUCGGAUGUUCAUGGCUCACACUGGCUCUUCCUCAGCUCGUAAAAUCUCCUGGGGCAAUCUGUGCGGCUCUUGCUAUGGAAGCGACUUUCCUGUUUGCAAGUGCAUCAAGAAUUUGAAACAUCUAGAUAAGCAAAGGUGUUUCACAUUUAUUAAGUGCCACUUUACUUACAGGCGAGGUAUGUAACAUGCAUUCAUGUGGACUGAGUAUUUCUCCGGGAGCUAUUUGCAUGAUUGAAAUAGCAGCAUGUACGUAACACGGGCCAUCAGGUUAUACACAUCUUACUCAAAGCCACCGUGUAAGGUAACAAAGCUCUUGUCGGAAGAUUUUUGUCCAUGAAGAAUACCUUUAGAGAAUUUUUAUAGUACAGAGAAAUGACUAUGAAAUAGCAAAUUCGAGGAUUCGCAUUAUCUAGAACAUCGCUAAGAUAUUUCCCUCGGUACUCAGACCUCAGCCAGCCUCAUACUCAUGAUCUCAAUGUGGUAUCACCCUCAUGCUCAUGGUAUCACUUUGAUAUCAGCCCCGUACUCAUGAUAUCACUGUGAUAUCAGCCUCAUGCUAUCAACUCUUCAUGCUCUUGCUCUUCUGGCUCCAUCAUGGAGACUGACCAGUAUUUGCUGUGAAGGAAAAGAUCUAAAAUACGCAGCUGGCCAAUAUCAUGCAAUAUUUCCCUAAGCGCCACUGCUGAGCAGUUUAUGCCCAAAAGCAAGAGACUGGACUUUCUUUAUUGCUGCCAGCCUGGCCAGAAAUCUGUCAUCGUGUUAUCAAGCCACUUCUUCAUAUCCAGCAAUAGCUUUGAACCCUAGACAGGGAACUGAUAAAGAAAAUACCAAAUACUUUCUGUGGGAAAUGACCGCAGCGUUCUUUCAUUACCUUGUAUUUCACAUCUCAACAACUGCUGGAUGACUCGUGCGGGAUGUGGAAAUCAGAACUCAGGGCUGCGCUACGACGUGACUUUCCUUCUGCAUCCUAUUGGUUUGCCAUUCACUGCCACCAGAAGGAGAUGACACUGUGCCAUGUGCAGUUUUCAUUGCCAGCUUCCUUGGGAGAACGUAAUUUUUAGAUGGAGGAAGAAAGAAAGAGAGAGGAGUUGGUGUCCCCAGCCAUGAGAGAGGGAAAAUCCAACCUGGGGUGUGAGCGCCGUGCUUUCCUGGUGAGAUCAUAAGAACAUCACCCAUUUCUCCUUGAUUUUUAACUUUAAACAGCAUUUGAUUCUCAUCUGCAGACAAAUGAGGCUAAUCCUGCCCUAUGAACACCGCCUGCUCCUCUAGCCCAGCUGCAUUCUUGGGAGUUCCGUAAUUAAAGUAUUGCCCUCUAUAUUACAUGCUCUUUGUAUGCUUUUCUGUUUAUAUUGAGAGCUUGUCCAGGGCAGAAUUGUGUCUUCCUAUGUGCAGGCAGCAUUCACCAGCAGUACAAACACCCUAGAAAAGAUCAAACUACUAACAGGGAAAGCCCCUCUGAGACACAAGUGUCUUGGAAUCAGGAUAAAACCCAAAAGAAUGAAAAAAUAGCUGCAAAACCAUUGCGUGCCCAGGGACAGAUGGCGACACAAGCUCAGACCCUACUGCUGCAUGGGCUGCGGUCAGACCCGCGCUCCGGCAUCCAGCUUAGAGAACAGACACGGAGAUCCAGCCCUCGAGCAGGCGAGAGGGUGAGGCUGGAGCCAGGGCACCGGAGCUGCUCCUCUUGGUAAGUGCUGCUUAGCAACACGGCCCUGCUACAGCACAGGAUUAAUCCAAUUUGCGGUGUCAUUGGAAACACUCGGCUCAGUCCAUUUGAAAAAAUCAGAUGAAGAUGCGCUGGCGUCCCACAGGUCACCAAGGGGACAGUGUGGGUCUGUCUAGGUCAGGAAAACUGGAAUUACGUCAAAUGAGAGGCACUGAGGGUUAAUUACGAAUAUGGCAAACCUAAUACAUGCAAGUAAGUAUCAGCAAAUCACAGACAGAAGCAGCAAUAGCUUCAGCGCAUAACAUCUCAUCCCUUUCCACCUCUGGCCAAUAAUAGAUUGCUGCUUAUGCUCUGUUUUUGUAAAGAUUUUAGCAACCUUGUUGAAAAUGUCUUGGUCACAGGGUCUCCUCUCACUGCCUGGAAGAACAAUGAGGUAGCCUGGCAGCUCUCAGUGCUUUCGGGAUAUUUUCCCCAGGAGUAGCGAAAUGUUUCUUUGCAGAAUUUCACUGCUCCUGUCCUGGCUCUUCUCUAGCAGGGAAGGACUCCCCUCCCAGCCUCCCAACAGUCCCUGACCAAGAAAACCACCAAAACACUCCAGGCAAGCCAGGGCCUUAUGGUAAAGUAACAGAACACUUGGGAAGUGUUUGUCCGCGCUCCCCAAGCAGCGCCAAUGACUUGUGUGAGAUGUGCACGUGGAACAGGGGGAUGUUAAUAGAGUCCAAAUGAAGGAAUAAAACUGCCAGGAAGGAUCUAGAAAACAAUUGCCAUUCACCAGCCAUUGUUGCUCAGGGAUUGCCUGAUUCCUCCGUUUGGAUUCUUUUGUUCUCCUAUUAAAACAAAACCACACUACUCGGGAUUAUUUGUUCAAAGUUCCAUAAUUAUC